AAGCAGAGAUAAAACCUCGUACCUUUUGCAUCAUGAUCUAGCCAGUCAACCCCAAGCAAAGAGAACUCUAGUUUGAAACCCCGAAACCUACAACGAGCUACCCCAAGGCCGUCUAAAACAGGACAAACCCGUCUCUGUAGCAAAAGAGUGGGAAGACCUUCAGGUAGAGGUGAAAAGCCUACCGAGUCAGGUUAUAGCUGGUUGCUCAGGAAAUGAAUAGAAGUUCAGCCCCGCGACCCCCUCACGCCAGCCUUCAACUAAAGGCAAAGAGUUAAACCCGGGAGUUAGUUAAAGGAGGUACAGCUCCCUUAACAAAGGAUACAACCUCAACAAGGAGGCUAAGGAAUAUACUACACCAAGGCUACAAAGUCUUAGUAGGCCCAAAAGCAGCCACCUAAACUAAAAGCGUUAAAGCUUAAACUUCACCAAGCCUAUUAUUUUAUUCAGCUAUCCAACGCCCCUCCCCCUACCGAGCCAUUUUAUGCACCCAUAAAAGAAACCAUGCUAGAACUAGUAAUAAGAAGAAUGAACUUCUCCACGCACAAGUGUAAGUCGAACCGGACAAACCACCGACAAUUAACGAACCCAAAAACAGAGGGCCAAACACCCCAACCACUAAAACCAAGAAAACCACGUCCAACCAAAAUCGUUACCCCAACACAGGAGUGCACACCCAAAGGAAAGACCAAAAGGAUAAAAAGGAACUCGGCAAACAAAAACCCCGCCUGUUUACCAAAAACAUCGCCUCCUGCCACCAAUCGCAUAGGAG
Molecule: ribosomal RNA, 769 nt
Filed under: Odontognathus mucronatus (Caribbean longfin herring)
Lineage: Eukaryota; Metazoa; Chordata; Actinopteri; Clupeiformes; Pristigasteridae
Description: partial 16S ribosomal RNA
Rfam family: Bacterial large subunit ribosomal RNA (bases 1-509)
Source: RNAcentral